UACGAAGGGGGGCUAGCGUUGUUCGGAAUUACUGGGCGUAAAGCGCACGUAGGCGGAUAUUUAAGUCAGGGGUGAAAUCCCGGAGCUCAACUCCGGAACUGCCUUUGAUACUGGGUACCUUGAGUAUGGAAGAGGUAAGUGGAAUUGCGAGUGUAGAGGUGAAAUUCGUAGAUAUUCGCAGGAACACCAGUGGCGAAGGCGGCUUACUGGUCCAUUACUGACGCUGAGGUGCGAAAGCGUGGGGAGCAAACAGG
Molecule: ribosomal RNA, 254 nt
Filed under: uncultured bacterium
Lineage: Bacteria
Description: partial 16S ribosomal RNA
Rfam family: Bacterial small subunit ribosomal RNA
Source: RNAcentral